Molecule: ribosomal RNA, 164 nt
Filed under: Haroldiella rapaensis
Lineage: Eukaryota; Viridiplantae; Streptophyta; Magnoliopsida; Rosales; Urticaceae
Description: 5.8S ribosomal RNA
Rfam family: 5.8S ribosomal RNA
About the family: 5.8S ribosomal RNA (5.8S rRNA) is a component of the large subunit of the eukaryotic ribosome.
Source: RNAcentral
AAAACGACUCUCGGCAACGGAUAUCUCGGCUCUCGCAUCGAUGAAGAACGUAGCGAAAUGCGAUACGUGGUGUGAAUUGCAGAAUUCCGUGAAUCAUCGAGUUUUUGAACGCAAGUUGCGCCCGAAGCCAUUUGGCCGAGGGCACGCCUGCCUGGGCGUCACGC